Neofelis nebulosa (Clouded leopard) is the source of this 2001-nucleotide long non-coding RNA. RefSeq lists it as uncharacterized. The record is from RefSeq and is a predicted model, not a curated record. The transcript has 3 exons. Lineage: Eukaryota; Metazoa; Chordata; Mammalia; Carnivora; Felidae.
AAAAAAAAAAAAAAAAAAGAAAAGAAAGAAAGAAAAAAAGAAAAAAGGAGGAAACAAGAAAACUUCUAAAGGACCACUGGAAAAGAGAGAAAGAUACCACUGACAUGAGAGAAAUGUGGAACUUCAGGAAUGUGUGCAACAGAGGAGAUCAACUGAAGCAAAACCUGAGGAGACUUGAACAGCAGUUUCAGAUUCCACAGGACCUGAAUCACUCCAGGAGUCAAAAUAUACAUGGUGGUGGAGACUGGGGGUGUGGAUACCCUCAGGAGAGUGUACUGAGGGACAGGAGAAUGAGAACAAGAACAGAAAUCUAAUUUUGGGAAACUAAGGAGCAGGCAGAGGAAGAGGAGCCCAUGAAGCUGAUGGAAAAGGAGCAGCUGGGGAAUGAAGACCGUAGUGAAAAGGGGUAUCACAGAGACCACAUGAAAAAAAAGAAGAAAAACUUUUAAUUUGAAAAGAAUCAUGAAAAGGCCACUAUUUGUUCACAGAUGUUCUUUGUUGAGAGACACCAGCUACUCAGUGAUCCCACAUCUGCACUUUUAUUUCUCUGAUCAUCCUUUGCCAUCAUCCAUCAAAGUCUCAGGUUCAAUGCUGCAACUUCCUGAAGACCUCAAAACCUGGAAUCAAUUUCUUCUUCGUUAUACAGGAAGAUGGUACAGGACAGUGGAAAGACUUUGGGAUAAUUUUCUCAUCUGUGUUCUAACACUUAGAACCUUGGUGACCAGAGGGGAGUUAUUUUAAUAUUUCUGAGCUCUACUUCCUCAUGUUUAAGCUAGAUAGUUCUUAACUGAGUUGUUACAAGGAAUGAAACGAAAUGAUCCAUAUAUUCACUGAUUUCACAAAUAUUUAUGAGUAUCUAUUAUGUAAAAGUGCUUUCUAUACUUGGGAAAAGAUAACCAACAACUAAAUAAAUAACAUAAUUUUAGAUUUAAACUUGAAUGAUGAGAAGAAGCGAGUCUUCUAAGGAUCUGGGGCAAAACAUUUCUGGCAGAAAAAAAAAACAAUGAAAGCAAAGUCCCUGAUGCAAGAAUUUGUUAUGUUCUGAAAAGCUGCUAUGCCUGGAUGGCUGGAGUAUAGAGUGUGACAAAGAAAGUUCCUGUAAUGAGAGUUGCCUACGAGUCUUGUAGGGCUUACGUGAAGUGUAAAGAGUUCUUAUUUUUCUGCUAGAAGCACUAGGAAGACCCUGAAGAGUUCUGAGGAGGGAAGUGGCAUGAUGCCAUGUCAUGAACCUAGUAUACCGCCUGCCUCAUAGUGGGGAUCAGUAAAUAGUGGCCGACGUCAAGCUCUUGCAGUGGUUUUUAAACAUCUAGGGUAUUCUGUUUCAUCAAUCCUAUCUUGUGUUGUGGGGAUAUGAAGAUAAAUAUUGCCUGUUCCCUCCCUUAGCCAUGCUGUUAAUUGUUUAAUGGCAUCAUGUGCAAUUUGUUUAACUUUGUAUCCCCCAUAAUAGUAAAUAUAGCAAUUUGGCUCACUGAGGUAUUCAUUCAUUGGGUGAGUUUUCACUGACAGCAGGGCUGGCACGUGCCUGGUACACAGUGCCGGCUUAUUCUUAUUUUCAUCAGAACUGAACACUUGCAGUAACUCCCCAUUUCCUAUUUGAAAACUCCAAAGCCUUGAUUUUGGCAUUCAUGGACUUUACAACAUAGUCCUACCUGAUGCAAUGUUUUCUCCUCUAGGUGUGCCCUGUGUUUCUACCAAGCUGGACACUUCCUUUCAAAUUCCUUAUAUUUUCCCGCUUACGAACACUUUAUUUCGUACCAUCCUAGUCUAGCUGAAAGUCACUCCUUUCACCAUCUUCUAUGUCUGUAAGGCUACAUUCAAGUACUAUCCACCCUAUGUCACUUAGGCUAUAUUUACAUUUUGUGCAUCCCUCUCUAUGCCUUGAGCCAUGUAAGGACUCAAUAAAUAUGUACUGAAUAAAUAAAGUAAAAAAAAAAAAGUUUCUAUAUCUGUUAAAAAUCGUGUUUAAAUUUUGAAGAAAACUAUUCCACUUCAGCAUAAUAC